CACUCUCUGUCUCACCAGGUCCAACGUGGUCUUCUCUAAAACGUCCACAAGUUUCUCCACCUUGGUCUUGCUGGUGAAGAUGAAGUCAUCGUCCACCCACAGCACAUACUUGCUGGUCACCUGGGAAACGGCCAGGUUUCGUCCAGCAAACCACCCCUAGGGCACAGGAGGACCUCAGCGUGACAUCCAACACACACACACAGAGAAGGUUGCACGGAGGUUCAUUGGGAAGAAGAAGAAGAAAAAGCUUGAGGGCACGCCGCACCUCCUUGUGGUCCUUCAUCAGGUCCUGUGUUGUACAGUUUGGAUGUCACACCGUGACGCACCUUGAUGGUGAACUUGGCUCCAUGUGUCGGGGUGGAACAGCGUGUUGGUGUAGGUGACAAACUGCAGCUGGCGGUUGAGUUUGCUCAGCAGGCCGCUGGACAGCGACAUGCGCGUCUCGCCGUCGCCUCGGAUUUCAACGCCGUCCACUUCUGCGGCGACGUUCAGGGUGCCCAGCGAGGCGCUGAGGUUCACCUGCGCGCGCGACCGAAGACAUAAAGUCAUCAAGACGCAGACGUCCUCCAUGCAAAAUACUCACAGAGUAGAGUUGACUGGGAAGAAGACGGUGUAAGGCCAAACCUGAAAGAAUCAUGCAUAGAAUGUACAGUCAUGUACAGUACACACUGGGGAAUGUACAGUCAUGUACAGCAGUGGUCCCCAACCACCGGGCCGCGGCCCGGUACCGGUCCGCGGACCGAUUGGUACCGGGACGCACAAGAAUUAAAAAAAAUAAAUAAAUAAAAUAAAUUUUAUUUUAUUUUUUUUAUUUUUAUGAAAUCAACAUAAAAAACACAAUAUAUACAUUCUAUAUCAAUAUAGAUCAAUACAGCCUGCAGGGAUACAGUCCGUAAGCACACAUGAUUGUAUUUAUUUAUGUAAAAAAAAAAAAAUAAUAAUAAUUUUUUUUUUUUUUUUUUUUUUUAAUGAAAUCAACAUAAAAAACACAAUAUAUACAUUCUAUAUCAAUAUAGAUCAAUACAGCCUGCAGGGACACAGUCCGUAAGCACACAUGAUUGUAUUUAUUUAUGUAAAAAAAAAAAAAAAAAAAAAAAAAAAUUCCACCCCCCCCCACCGGUCCGUGGGACAAAUUUUCAAGCGUUGACCGGUCCGCAGCUACAAAAAGGUUGGGGACCACUGAUGUACAGCACACACACCUGGGAUGAUGAUUGUCUUCAAAGGCCGCACCUCCAAUCCCUGAGUCGGGUACUGCCAAGGAUUGUUGGCCUGGGCUAUAAUGAGCGAGUCGGCAGGUGUGUGUAACCUGAAGUACACAAAGAAUACUUUCAGCUACUGCACUUUGUUGUUUUUACAGUACUCACCUGUUCUGGAGACUCCUGAACUCCUUCUCCCGUCUCCUCUUCACCUCCUCCAGCUCCGAGGGCUGGAAGGCGGUGUGCAGCGGCCUGGCCGCCACCCGCGUGGUGAGCAUUUGGAGGAAGGGUAGGUUGAUGCCUUCACUCUCGCACACGCAGCCGUUACGCGCCAACAAGCUGACCAAGUCACAAUAGUAAGUUCAUUCUAUGAACACGGGCUCUCUUGUUAGCAUCAGGUCAAAAACACAGGUGUCAAACUCAAAGCCCGGGCGCCAAAUCUGCUCCAACUUCUUUUUAAGUGUCCGCCACAUUAUUUAUGUGGCCUGCAAAAAGGCUGAAAGAAAGCAGCACUUAUUUGGUAAAUGUCCAUCCAUCCAUCCAUUUUCUACCGCUUGUCCCUUUCGAGGUUGCGGGGGUUGCUGGAGCCUAUCUCAGCUGCAUUCGGGCGGAAGGCGGGGUACACCCUGGACAAGUCGCCAACACAGACAGACAACAUUCACACACUAGGGACCAUUUAGUGACUGCAACCAACACAAAGUCACACAUUGAUCACACACACACACACAACACAAUUUGUUCACCGAACUUUGUGGAUUUGAUCAAAAACGGCCACAACUAUAACAUAUUUCAAAUUACCGUAAUUUCCGGACUAUAAGCCGCUACUUUUCCCCCUCGUUCUGGUCCCUGCGGCUUAUACAAGGGU
This is a long non-coding RNA of Entelurus aequoreus (snake pipefish), 2061 nucleotides long. RefSeq lists it as uncharacterized. The record is from RefSeq and is a predicted model, not a curated record. The transcript has 3 exons. Lineage: Eukaryota; Metazoa; Chordata; Actinopteri; Syngnathiformes; Syngnathidae.